RNAcentral lists this ribosomal RNA (382 nucleotides) under uncultured eukaryote. RNAcentral describes it as "partial 18S ribosomal RNA". It matches the Rfam family "Eukaryotic small subunit ribosomal RNA", at positions 592 to 976 of the family's 1831-position model. The record is from RNAcentral.
CAAUAGCGUAUAUUAAAGUUGUUGCAGUUAAAAAGCUCGUAGUUGGAUUUCUGGUUGAAGCGACCGGUCGGGCGUUGAUUCGUCUGCACUGGAGUCGGUUUUGGCCAUCCUCUAGGAAAGUGCGUCUGGUAUUAAGUUAUCGGGCGUAUGAUCCUGGUCUUUUACUGUGAAAAAAUUAGAGUGUUUAAAGCAGGCCUUCGCCUUGAAUACAUUAGCAUGGAAUAAUAAGAUAGGACUUUGGUCUAUUUUGUUGGUUUGCAGACCGAAGUAAUGAUUAAUAGGGAUAGUUGGGGGUAUUUAUAUUCCGAUGUCAGAGGUGAAAUUCUUAGAUUUUCGGAAGAUAAACUUAUGCGAAAGCAUUAACCAAGGAUGUUUUCAUUAA